Molecule: ribosomal RNA, 253 nt
Filed under: uncultured bacterium
Lineage: Bacteria
Description: partial 16S ribosomal RNA
Rfam family: Bacterial small subunit ribosomal RNA
Source: RNAcentral
UACGUAGGGGGGCAAGCGUUGUCCGGAUUCAUUGGGCGUAAAGAGCGUGUAGGCGGCCAGGUAGGUCGGUUGUGAAAACUGGAGGCUCAACCUUCAGAGGUCGACCGAAACCAUCUGGCUAGAGUCCGGGAGAGGAGAGUGGAAUCCUGGUGUAGCGGUGGAAUGCGCAGAUAUCAGGAGGAACACCGAUGGCGAAGGCAGAUCUCUGGGCCGUUACUGACGCUGAGGAGCGAAAGCAUGGGGAGCGAACAGG